This 300-nucleotide ribosomal RNA is filed under the name uncultured Aequorivita sp. Its description in RNAcentral is "bacterial SSU rRNA". It matches the Rfam family "Bacterial small subunit ribosomal RNA", at positions 496 to 795 of the family's 1533-position model. The record is from RNAcentral. Lineage: Bacteria; Pseudomonadati; Bacteroidota; Flavobacteriia; Flavobacteriales; Flavobacteriaceae.
GCUAACUCCGUGCCAGCAGCCGCGGUAAUACGGAGGAUCCGAGCGUUAUCCGGAAUCAUUGGGUUUAAAGGGUCCGUAGGCGGAUAGUUAAGUCAGCGGUGAAAGUCUGCAGCUCAACUGUAGAAUUGCCGUUGAUACUGGUUAUCUUGAAUCAAAUUGAAGUGGCUGGAAUAUGUGGUGUAGCGGUGAAAUGCAUAGAUAUCACAUGGAACACCUAUUGCGAAGGCAAGUCACUAAAUUUGUAUUGACGCUGAUGGACGAAAGCGUGGGGAGCAAACAGGAUUAGAUACCCUUGUAGUC